AUUGAACGCUGGCGGAAUGCUUUACACAUGCAAGUCGAACGGUAGAGGGGGCAACCCCUUGAGAGUGGCGAACGGGUGAGUAAUAUAUCGGAACGUGCCCAGUCGUGGGGAUAACGUAGCGAAAGUUACGCUAAUACCGCAUACGAUCUAAGGAUGAAAGCGGGGGACUCGCAAGAGCCUCGCGCGAUUGGAGCGGCCGAUAUCAGAUUAGGUAGUUGGUGGGGUAAAGGCUCACCAAGCAACGAUCUGUAGCUGGUCUGAGAGGACGACCAGCCACACUGGAACUGAGACACGGUCCAGACUCCUACGGGAGGCAGCAGUGGGGAAUUUUGGACAAUGGGCGCAAGCCUGAUCCAGCAAUGCCGCGUGCAGGAUGAAGG
RNAcentral lists this ribosomal RNA (380 nucleotides) under uncultured bacterium. RNAcentral describes it as "bacterial SSU rRNA". It matches the Rfam family "Bacterial small subunit ribosomal RNA", at positions 30 to 414 of the family's 1533-position model. The record is from RNAcentral.